Molecule: transfer RNA, 68 nt
Filed under: Marmota monax (woodchuck)
Lineage: Eukaryota; Metazoa; Chordata; Mammalia; Rodentia; Sciuridae
Rfam family: tRNA
About the family: Transfer RNA (tRNA) molecules are approximately 80 nucleotides in length. Their secondary structure includes four short double-helical elements and three loops (D, anti-codon, and T loops).
Source: Rfam by way of RNAcentral
GCUGGGGCUCAAUGGGAGAGCACUUGCCUGGUAUAUAUGAGGCACUGGGUUCAAUUCUCAGCUCUGCA